This 3101-nucleotide ribosomal RNA is filed under the name SAR202 cluster bacterium Casp-Chloro-G4. RNAcentral's name for it is "bacterial LSU rRNA". It matches the Rfam family "Bacterial large subunit ribosomal RNA". Lineage: Bacteria; Bacillati; Chloroflexota; Dehalococcoidia. The record is from RNAcentral.
CAAGUUAUUAAGGGUCUACGGUGGAUGCCUUGGGGCCAAGGGCCGAAGAAGGGCGCGGCAAGACUGCGAAAAGCCUCGGUUAGCUGUCUGGCGAGCUUAGCCGGGGGUUCCCGAAUGGGGAAACCCAUCCUGAGUCAUAUCAGGAUAUCCGCCUCGGCGGAAGGUAAGCGGGGGAACUGAAACAUCUAAGUACCCCGAGGAAAAUAAAUCUAACGAGAUUCCCCUAGUAGUGGCGAACGAACGGGGAAGAGCCUAAACCUAUCGGGCUUAACGGACUGGGGUCCUAUGUCCGAUGGGGGUUGUAACACACACCUGCUUAAACCCCAGUGAUAGCAAGGAGUAAGAAACCUAAAUCUUAGCUGAAUGAAUCUGGAAAGAGCGACCGCAGAGGGUGAUAGUCCCGUAGGUGAAAAGAUUUAGGCUCCUGGAGUGUUGUUGAGUACCACGGAACACGUGAAAUUCUGUGGGAAUCUGGGGGGACCACCCUCCAAGGCUAAAUACCCUUGGCCACCGAUAGUGAACCAGUACCGUGAGGGAAAGGUGAAAAGAACCCCGGGAGGGGAGUGAAAUAGACCUGAAACCGUAGACUUACAAGCCGUAGGAGGCGUGGCUUCGGCCAGGCUGACUGCGUGCCUAUUGAAGAAUGAGCCGGCGAGUUAAUUUAGGCAGCUAGGUUAAGGAAUAGAAGUUCCGGAGCCGUAGCGAAAGCGAGUCCGAAUAGGGCGUGAAUCGGUUGGGAACAAAGUUGAUGACGGAUGUCCUGCGUGCGACGGCGGGUCACUUCGGUGAUCCAAAGAAGUGCAAUGGAUGGAAGGCAGAGAUGGAGUUUCCAAUAUGGCCGAUGUGUUGUCUGGAUUAGACCCGAAACCGGGUGAGCUACCCAUGGCCAGGCUGAAGCUCAGGUAGUACUGAGUGGAGGGCCGAACCCGUGUACGGUGCAAAGUGCUGGGAUGAGCUGUGGGUAGAGGUGAAAUGCCAAUCGAACCCGGAGAUAGCUGGUUCUCCCCGAAAUGUAUUUAGGUACAGCCUCAAGGUAGUUUUGUGGAGGUAGGGCACUGGAUGGGCUAGGGGGCGUGAGCUUACCAAACCCAACCAAACCACGAAUGCCAUAAAAUGUUCCUUGGGAGUGAGACAGUGGGGGAUAAGCUCCAUUGUCGAGAGGGAAACAGCCCAGACCGCAAGCUAAGGUCCCGAAGUGUGAACUAAGUGUGAAAGGAAGUGGGAAUCCCAAGACAACUAGGAGGUUGGCUUAGAAGCAGCCACCCUUUAAAGAGUGCGUAAUUGCUCACUAGUCGAGGGCUCCUGCGCCGAAAAUGUAACGGGGCUAAAGUUCACCACCGAAGCUGCGGGAUUCGUCUUUAUGGCGGAUCGGUAGGGGAGCGUUGUCAGGGCGUUGAAGCUGGAGCCGUAAGGCCUGGUGGAGCGCUGAGAAGUGAGAAUGCCGGCAUGAGUAGCGACAAUCUAGGUGAGAAUCCUAGACACCGAAAGCCCAAGGUUUCCUACGCAACGUUGAUCAGCGUAGGGUAAGUCGGUCCUAAGCCGUAGCGGACAGCGAAGGCGAUGGACAGCAGGUCAAAAUUCCUGCACCACUAUUGGAUCGUUUUAAGGCAGAGGAGGGACGUGGGAAGGUAGGUGGAGCGCGCCCACUGGACAUGGUGCGUUUGCCCCUGUAGGCAAUGACUGGGAUAGGCAAAUCCGUCCUGGGAGCUGAGGGGGGUGAAAACUCCAGGGAUAAUACCCGGGGGAAUUCCAUUGAUCCUAUGCCACCAAGAAAAUCUUCGUUGCUAGAGCCAUUAGUGCCCGUACCGCAAACCGACACAGGUGGGCAGGGGUAAGUGUCCCCAGGUGAACGAGAGAACCUUCGUUAAGGAAUUCGACAAGUUAGCCCUGUAACUUCGGGAGAAAGGGUGCCGGGAGGGUCAAGCCACUUGCUGGUUGAAGCCCUUGCCGGUCGCAGUGAACAGGCUCAGGCGACUGUUUAUCAAAAACACAGGUCUCUGCUAAAGCGAAAGCUGAUGUAUAGGGGCUGACGCCUGCCCAGUGCCGGAAGGUUAAGAGGCGAGGUUCGUCCUUCGGGACAAAGCUUUAAAUCGAAGCCCCGGUGAACGGCGGCCGUAACUAUAACGGUCCUAAGGUAGCGAAACCCCUUGUCGGGUAAGUUCCGACCCGCACGAAUGGCGUCACGACCUGAGCGUUGUCUCAACGAAGGACUCGGUGAAAUUGCAAGGCCCGUGAAGAUGCGGGCUACCCGCGACAGGACAAAAAGACCCCGUGGAGCUUUACUGUAGCUUGGCAGUGGACUGUGGUUAUAGAUGUGUAGGAUAGGCGGGAGACUAUGAAGCCCGGACGCUAGUUCGGGUGGAGUCGCCCUUGAAAUACCGCUCUUCUCUAAUUUCGGCCCUAACUCCGUAGCAAUCGGAGGACCCUGCCAGGUGGGCAGUUUGACUGGGGCGGUCGCCUCCUAAAAGGUAACGGAGGCGCCCAAAGGUUCCCUCAAGGUGGAUGGAAAUCACCUAUAGAGUGCAUUGGCAUAAGGGAGCUUGACUGUGAGACUUACAAGUCGAGCAGGGACGAAAGUCGGGCAAAGUGAUCCUACGGUUCCGAGUGGAAGGGCCGUGGCUUAACGGAUAAAAGCUACCCCGGGGAUAACAGGCUGAUCACGCCCAAGAGUUCACAUCGACGGCGUGGUUUGGCACCUCGAUGUCGGCUCGCCGCAUCCUGGGGCUGAAGAAGGUCCCAAGGGUCCGUCUGUUCGCCGGUGAAAGCGGCACGCGAGCUGGGUUCAGAACGUCGUGAGACAGUUCGGUCUCUAUCCGUCGUGGGCGCAGGAGAUUUGAGGAGAGCUUUCCCUAGUACGAGAGGACCGGGAAGGACGGACCUCUGGUGUACCGGUUGUUCCGCCAGGAGCAUAGCCGGGUAGCCAUGUCUGGAUGCGAUAAGCGCUGAAAGCAUCUAAGCGCGAAGCCAACUCCAAGAUUAGAUCUCCCGUCUCUUUAAUUAGAGAGUAAGGUUCCCGGUAGACUACCGGGUUGAUAGGCCGCAGGUGUAAGCGCAGCAAUGUGUUCAGCUGAGCGGUACUAAUAAACCGAGGACUUGACCCA